AACGAACGCUGGCGGCAUGCCUAACACAUGCAAGUCGAACGAGACCUUCGGGUCUAGUGGCGCACGGGUGCGUAACGCGUGGGAACCUGCCCUUAGGUUCGGAAUAACUCCCCGAAAGGGGUGCUAAUACCGGAUAAUGUCUUCGGACCAAAGAUUUAUCGCCUUUGGAUGGGCCCGCGUUGGAUUAGCUAGUUGGUAGGGUAAAAGCCUACCAAGGCGACGAUCCAUAGCUGGUCUGAGAGGAUGGUCAGCCACACUGGGACUGAGACACGGCCCAGACUCCUACGGGAGGCAGCAGUGGGGAAUAUUGGACAAUGGGCGGAAGCCUGAUCCAGCUAUGCCGCGUGAGUGAUGAAGGCCUUAGGGUUGUAAAGCUCUUUUACCCGGGAUGAUAAUGACAGUACCGGGAGAAUAAGCUCCGGCUAACUCCGUG
RNAcentral lists this ribosomal RNA (433 nucleotides) under uncultured bacterium. Its description in RNAcentral is "partial 16S ribosomal RNA". It matches the Rfam family "Bacterial small subunit ribosomal RNA", at positions 29 to 507 of the family's 1533-position model. The record is from RNAcentral.